CAUAUUUCAACAAUCUGUCUUGCUUUUUUGCGAUGCAAAAUACACCAUCGCGAUAAAGAUUCAAUGCUCUGUUGUGAGUUGUUGAGUUUUGACAACUUUUCAUUUAAUAUCUGCACAUCAAAAACAUCAUUGCUCAUCCUGCUGCUUUAUGAGUCUUCACAUAUCCUGCCAAAUUCCCUUAUAAGAGCAUAGUCACACUGUUCCACACUUUUUCCUUCCCUCCACUAACCCAUGCAAUGAUGUUCAAUCAUGAGCCCUCAAUUUUUGUCUCCAAUUGUAGGAUUUCCCUAAUUCACCUGCAAAGAAAGGGAAACGUCAAGCGAAUUAGGAAUAAGGUUCUGCGAAUUAGAAAAACCCUAGAAAUUGAGAAGUCGUUGCUUUCGUGCAGAGAGAGAGACCCACAGAGAGGUGGAAAACUG
Molecule: unclassified non-coding RNA, 419 nt
Filed under: Hevea brasiliensis (rubber tree)
Lineage: Eukaryota; Viridiplantae; Streptophyta; Magnoliopsida; Malpighiales; Euphorbiaceae
Source: RNAcentral